UGCCAUUGCGUACUUGCAACAUGAUUUUUUUUAAAAAAAAAAUAUUUACAUAGCUGUCUAGCUUCAAAACCCCUUAAUUUUUAAUUUUUUUAACCUAAAAUCACAUAUUUUUUGUUCGCCCCUUUCUUUUUCAAGAAAGAACAGACGAAGGCUCUAGAUAAAAAUUUUCAUCCCAAAUCUCAUGUCUCCCAGUUCUUUGAAAGAAUUGCUUAAAUUUCUCGAAUCUAAAGGCAGGUAGGACUCUAAUCUACAUUCGACGAUGAAAGAAUCGAGAGUGACUGGAUUGGAGGAGCAAAAGAUGCAUAAAAUAAGGUCUGCUCUGUGAUGCUGAAGAUUUUGUUACUGACUAUGCAGCUUCUGAGAUGGAUCACAAAAUGUAGGAAAACCUAAAAAAGAUGAGCUCUUUGAAACCCUGAAUCUUUUAUGCUUUUUUUUUUUCAUAUUUGGAUAUAAUGCAUGCGACCUUCUUUUUAUAUAUAUUUUUUAUGAGUUUUUAUUUCUGAGAUUAAUUUGCUUUGAGUUCUUGGUUGUGGAUUCCUUUUUUUUUUUAUAGGAUUUGCCUUUGUUUCUUCUUUGAUCGAGUUUGAUUUGUUUGCCAAUUUGUUAGGAUGGUUGAAUCGAUUUGUUUUGUUCCUUCUCUUGCCAGAUACAUAUUUCCAUGUUCACCUCCUUUCAUCUUUCUGUUAGAUCUUCACUUUGUUUCUUCAAUUUCCUGGGAGCUGUUUCUCUUUCAUCAGAAUUGCUUGCUGGUUUGUUUUGGCCUGCCAACCUAAGGAGAUUUAUAGUUUUAUUUUUUUUUCCAAAUCAUGGAUCUUUAUAUUUUGAUAUAGGAAAGAAUUUUAUUGAGAGAUUGCUGCCUAUAGCUGCUUAUAUUUUUAUGUGGCCUGCUUCUGUAACUUGUAGACAUAUGGAGCCUCCUAUUGGAAAUGCCUUGCUUAAAAGGUAGCAUCUCACCUGCUCAUUGUCUGUAUUUUAAAAUUGGGAUGUUUGAAGAAUUUGUUUAUGCCAUGGCACCAACACCUUUACAGGCUUGUUUUUUGUGUCUUUUUCAGUUUUAUUUUAGAGAGCAUUAAUGAUUGCCAUUUUUUUUAACAAGCUAGCUCAAAUGGUUUGUGUAUUUUUCUCAUUUGGUUGAACCUUUGGGCUAGUGUUAUGGGUAUUAUGAUAGGCUGUCAUGAUUGUGCAUUUAACUCACUGUCAUUACAUCUUCUCUUUAUCACCUCUUGAAUCUAUAGGAAGUUGCUUCUCUUGCAUCAGAAUUGCUUUUUGAUUCGUUUUGGCUUGCCUUUCCAAAGUGAUUUGCAUUUUCUUUCCUUCUAAUCCUCACUCUCAUCCAUCCCUCUUUCGGUUUGUUCACAAUCAAGCUCUGACCAGAUAGGUUAAUUGCCAAUGAUCAUCAUUUUUUUUUGCAAUCAUGAAACUACAUUAGUUGCUAUCAUUUAAAUUUAAUAUUGCUUUGAUCAUGAUUUUUGUCUCAUGAUGCUAGAGUUAGAUUAUGAAUUAAUACAACUACACUUAAUUUAGUUCACGUGAAUAGAGAAAAGUAUGUUACACUCAUCAUGCAUGAAAUAAGACUUAGUUAUGACUAUAAAAACUCAAAGAGAAUGGGGAGAAAGUUUAAAGAGUCUUUUGUUUAUUCUUCUGCAACUAUUUUGCAUGCAUUCAAGGUGUCUUUAAAUAGAACUUCAGUUUGACAGAGGUAGAGUAGAAAUGCAAUAAACAUCCUAUUAGUUAGCCUGUACAUGAUAUACAUUUGAAAUCAAAAACUUUUAUCUCCUCUGUUUCAGGAGUCUGCUGCUGGAUUUGAAAAGGUCUCAUUGACUUGUUCUUCUACACGCCUCCACAGUUGAAAGGGAAAGGAACGAACAUUGAGACUGUCACGCAGGAGAAGAAACUAAGUGGAAGACAAUGGUUUUGUAAGGGCAUCUGCAUAUUGAUCUUUUCUGGAAACAAAUUGAACAUGAAGUUGACAACGUAGAACUUGAUCAUGAAUAAAAAGGAAGUCAAUUUCAAUAUGUUUUGUAUGGAAGUCAAUUUCAAUAUGUUUUUUGUGAGCAUGUAAUAAAGGAUUGCUAGUCAAACAAGUAGCUUUUGUGUUGUCACACCAAAGAAUUGGCGAAUGUACAAGCUGAACAUGAAGAUUAGUGAGCAAGGAUUUUAUCCAUCGAAUUUCUUGAGCAACAUUUG
Molecule: long non-coding RNA, 2187 nt
Organism: Populus euphratica (Euphrates poplar)
Lineage: Eukaryota; Viridiplantae; Streptophyta; Magnoliopsida; Malpighiales; Salicaceae
Exons: 2
Source: RefSeq, a predicted model, not a curated record